GCGUGAGGGGACUGCGGAGGACAUUAUUGAGUUUUGAACGGGUUGUUGCUGGCCUUGUUAUGAAGGCAUGUGCACGCCUGACUCAUCCACUCUUUACCUUUGUGCAUUUUUUGUAGGAAUUGGUUUUUGAAGCUGAUGCAAGUUAGUGAAAGUAACCUUUCCUAUGUUUUAAUUAAAAACACUUUGGUUAUAGAAUGUUUGUAUGCAGAUAAUGCAUUUAAUUAUACAACUUUCAGCAACGGAUCUCUUGGCUCUUGCAUCGAUGAAGAACGCAGCGAAAUGCGAUAAGUAAUGUGAAUUGCAGAAUUCAGUGAAUCAUCGAAUCUUUGAACGCACCUUGCGCUCCUUGGUAUUCCGAGGAGCAUGCCUGUUUGAGUAUCAUGGAAACCUCAACUUCUAGAAACUUUUUGAUAAAAGUUUUUCAGAAGCUUGGAUGUGGAGGGUUGUGUUGGCUUUUGUUUUAGUCGACUCCUCUGAAAUAUAUUAGCGUGAACCUUUGUGGAUCAUCUUCAAUGUGAUAAUUGUCUGCAUUGUAGUUGUGAAGCGUGCUAUAUUUGUUCAUGCUUAUAAUGCUCUUUUUGAAGAGACAUUUUUGUAUGGCUUUUGAUCUCAAAUCAGGUAGGACUACCCGCUGAACUUAAGCAUAUCAAAAGCCCCGGAGAGGAA
Molecule: ribosomal RNA, 666 nt
Rfam family: 5.8S ribosomal RNA (bases 228-381)